This 513-nucleotide ribosomal RNA is filed under the name uncultured bacterium. Its description in RNAcentral is "bacterial SSU rRNA". It matches the Rfam family "Bacterial small subunit ribosomal RNA", at positions 27 to 518 of the family's 1533-position model. The record is from RNAcentral.
AGUAGUUGACUCCGUCGGCUACAGGAACGAACGCGUGGUGGACGUGUUUAUACAUGCAAGUCGAGCGAGGACGGUAGCAAUACCGAGCCGAGCGGCGAACGGGUGAGUAACGCGUAAGCAAUCUGCCCCACAAUCGGGAACAACCGUGCCAACGCGCGGCUAAUGCCGGAUAUUGUAGUCUACUGCAUAGUAGGCCAACGAAAGAUUUAUUGUUGUGGGAUGAGCUUGCGUCCGAUUAGCUAGUUGGCGGGGUAAUAGCCCACCAAGGCGACGAUCGGUAGCCGGCCUGAGAGGGUGAUCGGCCACAUUGGGACUGAGAUACGGCCCAGACUCCUACGGGAGGCAGCAGUAGGGAAUAUUGCGCAAUGGGGGGAACCCUGACGCAGCCAACGCCACGUGUGGGAAGAAGCAUUUCGGUGUGUAAACCACUGUCGGAAAGGAAUAACGGAAGACUUCGGUCUUUAUGAAUGUACUUUUAGAGGAAGCACCGGCAAACUUCGUGCCAGCCGCCGC